CGCGGGAUGGAGCAGUUGGUAGCUCGUCGGGCUCAUAACCCGAAGGUCACAGGUUCGAGUCCUGUUCCCGCUACCAUUG
Molecule: transfer RNA, 79 nt
Filed under: Cytophaga hutchinsonii ATCC 33406
Lineage: Bacteria; Pseudomonadati; Bacteroidota; Cytophagia; Cytophagales; Cytophagaceae
Description: tRNA-Met
Rfam family: tRNA
About the family: Transfer RNA (tRNA) molecules are approximately 80 nucleotides in length. Their secondary structure includes four short double-helical elements and three loops (D, anti-codon, and T loops).
Source: RNAcentral